Drosophila sulfurigaster albostrigata is the source of this 1564-nucleotide long non-coding RNA. RefSeq lists it as uncharacterized. NCBI's taxonomy places the organism in Eukaryota, Metazoa, Arthropoda, Insecta, Diptera, Drosophilidae. The transcript is spliced from 3 exons. The record is from RefSeq and is a predicted model, not a curated record.
CAUAUUGAAGACAGUCUUGUUUGCUCAACGUUGUUUGUUGUUGGGGGAAUGCUUCUGGCAGGAUAUUAAUGAAAGAAUGUGAUGAAACAUUUUGCAUUGCCUUCGCUCAGCAACAUGACAGGGCCACUACACGACAACGAACAACAUCUACACGCAGCCGAAAGGAAAUACAACACACAUACACAUUCGAGAUACAAAUACAAAGAUGAGUACCAGAAAAUACUUACAAGCUUUUUCGGGGGAUACGCACAAAGCCAACGAUGACAACUACAAGAUUCUGUGAGAUGCUCGUAUUCUCGCAUAACCGGAUGUUAUUUACAGCUGCUGCAGUCAGCGGCAGCUGACACAACUUUGCAUACUUUAAUUAAACAUUCUACACUGCAGAUGUACAUACACACAUACAAAUACACAGUUGGAUAUACGAAUAUGUAUCUACAUAUACAGAACGAGAGGGAAACUUGAACAGAUACAGAUACAGAUACAGAGCAAAGCAAGCGAAGCAAAAGUUUAAAUAAAUGCUUGUUAAAUGUCGCAAAAUUGCCCGCAGACUUUUCCCAGCACUUACUAAGUAACUACGUUUGAAAUUCUGCGGCAGUUACUUAACAAUUUCACUGAAAAAUGGCCAUAAGCAUUCUCUGUGCAUAUACUAUACGGAUCCAGCAGAUACAGAUACAUUUGCAGAUGACUUCUCCAGAUACACAUAGCACUCUUCUCAACCGAAUGCCAGGGUCCAGCCACUGCGAACUUAAUUAGGGUUAAUUAAUGUUAGAAAAACACACAGACGCACACACACAGACACAUUCACAUUCGCAGAUAUUGACUAACGACAAAUUGGCAUACAAUUUACAUUCUGCUGCGACGCACAAAUGGAGGCAGCAUCAGCUGGAGCAGCCAAACCGGAAAUGAGUUUUCAAAAGCCCGGAAGGCAGCAAUUAUGGUAUCGCAAAAUAUAAGCAAAGAAAAAUAACAACACGAAAAUUUGUGGUCGCUAAAGAAUGUGCCUGCUCUGUUGCUCUGUUGGUGGCAUCGGAGGUGAUGCAAGGAUGGCGUUCAGAAGACCUGGAAACUGCUCCCCCGUCGCGCUGGGAUACCAAAAUUUGUGAGAUACUAAAUGUGGCAUGUGGCAGCAGCAUAUAGGGAACAAACAACAAACAUGAAAACAAAGGGACGCAAGACGCAAAAAAACAAGCUCAAAGUAAGCGCCGUAAAUGUUUAGAAAUAAAUUUGUGUCGCCUGCAACGUUGCCACAAAAAAGACCCCUCAUAAAUGUUUACACCUUGUUAGAGGGUAUGGUUAGUAGUCGCACCUGAGAUGGAAGUUUCGCGAAGGAACAGAAACAGAAACAGGAGCACGAGCCAAGAAAACGUGUCAAUGAUGCCGCACAGACAUCGCAGAUAACCGACACUGUAAUAACCAUAAUGGACACCAGUGCAUUCAACCGCACACUUGGAUGAAACUGAAAAGAAUUUUUUCUUAGUUCCACUUACAAUAUAUAAAUUAGUACUAAUUACAAACAAUCAAUGAUAAUCUUAUACUCUAAAAAUUACAUACAUAAAUUACUUAG